Long non-coding RNA from Hydractinia symbiolongicarpus, 1755 nucleotides. RefSeq lists it as uncharacterized. NCBI's taxonomy places the organism in Eukaryota, Metazoa, Cnidaria, Hydrozoa, Anthoathecata, Hydractiniidae. The record is from RefSeq and is a predicted model, not a curated record. The transcript has 2 exons.
UCAUUUUUGAUGAGACGCUGAAUAAAAGAAGGUUAAUCGCCGGCAAACGAAAACCCGCGAUUUCCCGUAAAUCCCGGGCUUGGCCCAUAUAGUCAAAAGUAUACAAAGAAAGUACCCUGUGAGUAAACUCAUUUCCAGAACGAUUUAUUAAAUUAUUUUUUCACCACUAAAACGCAAAAGACUUGUAGUUUUUAAAAAUGUUUUCAUUUUUGAUGAGACGCUGAAUAAAAGAAGUUUAAUCGCCGGCAAACGAAAACCCGCGAUUUCCCGUAAAUCCCGGCUUGGCCUGUAUAGUCAAAAGUAUACAAAGAAAGUACCCAGGGAGUAAACUCAUUUCCAGAACGAUUUUUUAAAUUAUUUUUUCACCACUAAAACGCAUAAGACUUGUAGUUUUCAAAAAUGUUUUCAUUUUUGAUGAGACGCUGAAUAAAAGAAGUUUAAUCGCCGGCAAACGAAAACCCGCGAUUUCCCGUAAAUCCCGGCUUGGCCUGUAUAGUCAAAAGUAUACAAAGAAAGUACCCAGGGAGUAAACUCAUUUCUUGAACGAUUUUUUAAAUUAUUUUUUCACCACUAAAACGCAUGAGACUUGUAGUUUUCAAAAAUGUUUUCAUUUUUGAUGAGACGCUGAAUAAAAGAAGUUUAAUCGCCGGCAAACGAAAACCCGCGAUUUCCCGUAAAUCCCGGGCUUGGCCCGUAUAGUCAAAAGUAUACAAAGAAAGUACCCUGUGAGUAAACUCAUUUCCAGAACGAUUUUUUAAAUUAUUUUUUCACCACUAAAACGCAUAAGACUUGUAGUUUUUAAAAAUGUUUUCAUUUUUGAUGAGACGCUGAAUAAAAGAAGUUUAAUCGCCGGCAAACGAAAACCCGCGAUUUCCCGUAAAUCCCGGCUUGGCCCGUAUAGUCAAAAUAAUACAAAGAAAGUACCCAGGGAGUAAACUCAUUUCCCGAACGAUUUUUUAAAUUAUUUUUUCACCACUAAAACGCAUAAGACUUGUAGUUUUCAAGAUUGUUUUCAUUUUUGAUGAGACGCUGAAUAAAAGCAGUUUAAUCGCCGGCAAACGAAAACCCGCGAUUUCCCGUAUAUCCCGGGCUUGGCACGGAUAGUCGCAUGUAUACAAAGAAAGUACCCUGUGAGUAAACUCAAUUCCAGAACGAUUUUUUAAAUUAUUUUUUCACCACUUAAACGCAUAAGACUUGUAGUUUUUAAAAAUGUUUUCAUUUUUGAUGAGACGCUUAAUAAAAGAGGUUUAUUUGCCGGCAAACGAAAUCCCGCGAUUUCCCGUAAAUCCCGGGCUUGGCCCGUAUAGUCGAAUGUAUACAAAGAAAGUACCCAGGAAGUAAACUCAUUUCCCGAACGAUUUUUUAAAUUUUUUUUUCACCACUAAAACGCAUGAGACUUUUAUUUUCAAAAAUGUUUUCAUUUUUGAUGAGACGCUGAAUAAAAGAAGUUUAAUCGCCGGCAAACGAAAACCCGCGAUUUCCCGUAAACCCCGGACUCGGCCCGUAUAGUCAAAAGUAUACAAAGAAAGUACCCUGUGAGUAAACUCAUUUCCAGAACGAUUUUUUAAAUUAUUUUUUCACCACUAAAACGCAUAAGACUUGUAGUUUUUAAAAAUGUUUUCAUUUUUGAUGAGACGCUGAAUAAAAGAAGUUUAAUCACCGGCAAACGAAAACCCGCGAUUUCCCGUAAAUCCCGGCUUGGCCCGUAUAGUCAAAAGUAUACAAAGAAAGUACCCAGGGAGUAAACUCAUUUCC